AGUGAACGCUGGCGGUAGGCCUAACACAUGCAAGUCGAACGGCAGCACAGUAAGAGCUUGCUCUUACGGGUGGCGAGUGGCGGACGGGUGAGGAAUACAUCGGAAUCUACUUUUUCGUGGGGGAUAACGUAGGGAAACUUACGCUAAUACCGCAUACGACCUACGGGUGAAAGCAGGGGAUCUUCGGACCUUGCGCGAUUGAAUGAGCCGAUGUCGGAUUAGCUAGUUGGCGGGGUAAAGGCCCACCAAGGCGACGAUCCGUAGCUGGUCUGAGAGGAUGAUCAGCGACACUGGAACUGAGACACGGUCCAGACUCCUACGGGAGGCAGCAGUGGGGAAUAUUGGACAAUGGGCGCAAGCCUGAUCCAGCCAUGCCGCGGGGGUGAAGAAGGCCUUCGGGUUGUAAAGCCCUUUUGUUGGGAAAGAAAAGCAGCAGGUUAAUACCACGCUGUUCUGACGGUACCCAAAGAAUAAGCACCGGCUAACUUCGU
Molecule: ribosomal RNA, 491 nt
Filed under: uncultured bacterium
Lineage: Bacteria
Description: partial 16S ribosomal RNA
Rfam family: Bacterial small subunit ribosomal RNA
Source: RNAcentral